Long non-coding RNA from Homo sapiens (human), 924 nucleotides. Ensembl annotates it as ITGB8 antisense RNA 1. Its record names the gene ITGB8-AS1. NCBI's taxonomy places the organism in Eukaryota, Metazoa, Chordata, Mammalia, Primates, Hominidae. The record is from Ensembl.
GCCUGACUGCCUUCCGGACGCGGGCUCGCGCCUCCCGGGCGCACCUCGGGGCCCGCGGGCCGAGUGUCGCUAGGACGUUUUCCGCAGGCCUAGCAGGCGGACCCCGCGGCUCGGAGCAAGCGGUGCAGGGGCAGGAGCGAUUCCCAUUCGAGGAGUUUGACCUCUCAUUUUAAUACAACACCCGCCUCUUAGAGGCAGCAGACCAGUCCAGCCAGGUCAAGGUGUGGACCGCACAACGGGGUGCACAGGAUUAGUUAAGCAAAGCAGGAACCCAGCUGGAAAAUUAAACGAGCCCUGGAUCUGCAAAGCAGGUCCCUUCGCGAGACCAAAGCCGUGAUCCCAACCUUAGCAACAUAAUUCUACUGGAGGUGUUGAUAUAUAUACUAAUCCAGAACAACCAUGUAGCAAGAGGAAUAAAAUGAAGUUCAGAAGUCUGUUUCGGGAAAUUUUGAAGCCCUUUAGAAAGAAAGAUUUCUACAUUUUGUUACAUGAAAUUCAUGCAAAUAUAUGUCAGGUGCCAGUGCUAUGGAGUUGUUGAAGAAUAAGCACAAUACCAUUUAUUACCACUUCUCAGUUGUAAAGAGGCUGUAACUCUGGUUGUCGAAAUAAAAUAAAAUGAAAUCUCCUAGAUGUGACACUGUGACCCCUGCCAGUUAUUUACAAACAAGUUAUCUGCACAUUUUGGGCUGUAAACAUAAAAGUAAACUCUCUGAAAGACUGCAAAUCAUCUUUAGGGUUUUCUUAAAGUAAAUACAACUAGUGGCCCAGGAACCAAAAGUUUGCUUGUUUCCAGUUAAUGUCACUGGUCACCAUAACUCACCCUUUUUCCUAUGAGGAAAUGUACAGCAUAUUUUAAAGAAAUGCAGUAUUGUUAUCUUCGUCAUAUUACCUGAAGAAUUCUAAUAAAGGAAAAAUGUUUCGGAA